AGCUCCAAUAGCGUAUGUUAAAGUUGUUGCGGCUAAAAGCUCGUAGUUGGAUUUCUGUUGAGGACAACCGGUCCACUCUAUGAGUGUGUAUCUGGUUUGGCCUCGGCAUCCGCUCUGUUUACGUUUCUGCGCUUGAUUGCGUGGAGCGGAGGUAGGGCCUUUUACUUUGAGGAAAUUAGAGUGUUCACGGCAGGCAGUCGCCCUGAAUAUAUUAGCAUGGAAUAACAACAUAGGAUUUUGGCUUUUGUUGUUGGUACUAGAGCUAAAAUAAUGAUAAAUAGGGACAAUUGGGGGCAUUCGUAUUGCGGUGUCAGAGGUGGAAUUCUUGGAUUACUGCACGACGAACUACUGCGAAAGCAUUUGCCAAGGAUGUUUUCAUUGAUCAAGAACGAAAGUUAACACUGGA
Molecule: ribosomal RNA, 406 nt
Filed under: uncultured eukaryote
Lineage: Eukaryota
Description: SSU rRNA
Rfam family: Eukaryotic small subunit ribosomal RNA
Source: RNAcentral